UACGUAGGGGGCAAGCGUUGUUCGGAUUUAUUGGGCGUAAAGAGCUCGUAGGCGGUUUGGUGAGUCGGGUGUGAAAUCUCCACGCUCAACGUGGAGGGGCCACCCGAUACUGCCAUGACUGGAGUCCGGUAGAGGAGUGUGGAAUUCCCGGUGUAGCGGUGAAAUGCGUAGAGAUCCGGAAGAACACCGGUGGCGAAGGCGGUCUGCUGGGCAGUUGCUGACGCUGAUGCGCGACAGCGUGGGGAGCAAACAGG
This 254-nucleotide ribosomal RNA is filed under the name uncultured bacterium. Its description in RNAcentral is "partial 16S ribosomal RNA". It matches the Rfam family "Bacterial small subunit ribosomal RNA", at positions 524 to 776 of the family's 1533-position model. The record is from RNAcentral.